This 506-nucleotide ribosomal RNA is filed under the name uncultured bacterium. RNAcentral describes it as "partial 16S ribosomal RNA". It matches the Rfam family "Bacterial small subunit ribosomal RNA", at positions 29 to 523 of the family's 1533-position model. The record is from RNAcentral.
AGUGAACGCUGGCGGUAGGCCUAACACAUGCAAGUCGAACAGCAGCACAGGAGAGCUUGCUCUCUGGGUGGCGAGUGGCGGACGGGUGAGGAAUACAUCGGAAUCUACUCUGUCGUGGGGGAUAACGUAGGGAAACUUACGCUAAUACCGCAUACGACCUACGGGUGAAAGCAGGGGAUCUUCGGACCUUGCGCGAUUGAAUGAGCCGAUGUCGGAUUCGCUAGUUGGCGGGGUAAAGUCCCACCAAGGCGACGAACCGUAGCUGGUCUGAGAGGAUGAUCAGCCACACUGGAACUGAGAGACGGUCCAGACUCCUACGGGAGGCAGCAGUGGGGAAUAUUGGACAAUGGGCGCAAGCCUGAUCCAGCCAUACCGCGUGGGUGAAGAAGGCCUUCGGGUUGUAAAGCCCUUUUGUUGGGAAAGAAAUCCAGCUGGCUAAUACCCGGUUGGGAUGACGGUACCCAAAGAAUAAGCACCGGCUAACUUCGUGCCAGCAGCCGCCGUAA